UCCGUGCCAGCAGCCGCGGUAAUACGGAGGGUGCAAGCGUUGUCCGGAAUCAUUGGGCGUAAAGAGUUCGUAGGUGGUUUGUUAAGUUUGGUGUUAAAUGCAGAGGCUCAACUUCUGUUCGGCAUCGGAUACUGGCAGACUAGAAUGCGGUAGAGGUAAAGGGAAUUCCUGGUGUAGCGGUGAAAUGCGUAGAUAUCAGGAGGAACAUCGGUGGCGUAAGCGCUUUACUGGGCCGUAAUUGACACUGAGGAACGAAAGCCAGGGUAGCAAAUGGGAUUAGAUACCCCAGUAGUCCUGGCCGUAAACGAUGGAUACUAGGUGUUGCGGGUAUCGACCCCUGCAGUGCCGUAGCAAACGCGUUAAGUAUCCCGCCUGGGGAGUACGCACGCAAGUGUGAAACUCAAAGGAAUUGACGGGGACCCGCACAAGCGGUGGAACAUGUGGUUUAAUUCGAAGCAACGCGAAGAACCUUACCAGGGCUUGACAUCUAACAAACCUUUGUGAAAGCAGAGGGUGCUCUUCGGAGAAUGUUAAGACAGGUGGUGCACGGUUGUCGUCAGCUCGUGUCGUGAGAUGUUGGGUUAAGUCCCGCAACGAGCGCAACCCUCGUCGUUAGUUGGUACUAUCGGUAUACUUAUAGUAACCUCUCUAGCGAGACUGCCGGUGAUAAACCGGAGGAAGGUGAGGACGAGGUCAAAUCAUCAUGCCCCUUAUGCUCUGGGCUACACACGUGUUACAAUGGCCGGUACAAUGAGCCGCCAACUCGCGAGAGUGAGCAAAUCUCUAAAAGCCGGUCUCAGUUCGGAUUGCAGUCUGCAACUCGACUGCAUGAAGUCGGAAUCGCUAGUAAACGCAGAUCAGCACGCUGCGUUGAAUACGUUCCCGGGUCUUGUACACACCGCCCGUCACACCAUGGAAGUCGACCACGCCCGAAGUACGUGAGCUAACCGUAAGGAAGCAGCGUCCUAAGGCAGGGUUGGUGACUGGGGUGAAGUCGUAACAAGGUAGCCGUACCGGAAGGUGUGGCUG
This 1029-nucleotide ribosomal RNA is filed under the name human gut metagenome. Its description in RNAcentral is "bacterial SSU rRNA". It matches the Rfam family "Bacterial small subunit ribosomal RNA", at positions 502 to 1520 of the family's 1533-position model. The record is from RNAcentral.